GGGGAAUAUUGCGCAAUGGGGGAAACCCUGACGCAGCAACGCCGCGUGAGCGAUGAAGGUCUUCGGAUUGUAAAGCUCUGUCUUUAGGGACGAUAAUGACGGUACCUAAGGAGGAAGCCACGGCUAACUACGUGCCAGCAGCCGCGGUAAUACGUAGGUGGCAAGCGUUGUCCGGAUUUACUGGGCGUAAAGGAUGCGUAGGCGGAUAUUUAAGUGGGAUGUGAAAUACCCGAGCUCAACUUGGGUGCUGCAUUCCAAACUGGAUAUCUAGAGUGCGGGAGAGGAGAGUGGAAUUCCUAGUGUAGCGGUGAAAUGCGUAGAGAUUAGGAAGAACACCAGUGGCGAAGGCGACUCUCUGGACCGUAACUGACGCUGAGGCAUGAAAGCGUGGGGAGCAAAC
This 400-nucleotide ribosomal RNA is filed under the name uncultured bacterium. Its description in RNAcentral is "bacterial SSU rRNA". It matches the Rfam family "Bacterial small subunit ribosomal RNA", at positions 356 to 773 of the family's 1533-position model. The record is from RNAcentral.